Molecule: ribosomal RNA, 279 nt
Filed under: uncultured bacterium
Lineage: Bacteria
Description: partial 16S ribosomal RNA
Rfam family: Bacterial small subunit ribosomal RNA
Source: RNAcentral
UGCCAGCAGCCGCGGUAAUACGGGGGGAGCAAGCGUUGUCCGGAAUCACUGGGCGUAAAGAGCGUGUAGGCGGGAUCGUAAGUCAGAGGUGAAAUGUCGGGGCUCAACUCCGAACCUGCCUUUGAAACUACGGUUCUUGAGUGCGGUAGAGGGAAGCGGAAUUCCAGGUGUAGCGGUGGAAUGCGUAGAUAUCUGGAAGAACACCGGUGGCGAAGGCGGCUUCCUGGCCCGAAACUGACGCUGAGACGCGAAAGCGUGGGUAGCAAACAGGAUUAGAUA